Molecule: ribosomal RNA, 665 nt
Filed under: uncultured fungus
Lineage: Eukaryota; Fungi
Description: eukaryotic LSU rRNA
Rfam family: Eukaryotic large subunit ribosomal RNA
Source: RNAcentral
ACCCGCUGAACUUAAGCAUAUCAAUAAGCGGAGGAAAAGAAACUAACAAGGAUUCCCCUAGUAACUGCGAGUGAACCGGGAAAAGCUCAAAUUUAAAAUCUGGCAGUCUUCGAUUGUCCGAGUUGUAAUUUCGAGAAGUGUUUUCCGCGCUGGACCGUAUACAAGUUUCCUGGAAUGGAACGUCAUAGAGGGUGAGAAUCCCGUCUUUGAUACGGACUACCAUGUGCUUUUGUGAUACGCUCUCAACGAGUCGAGUUGUUUGGGAAUGCAGCUCAAAAUGGGUGGUAAAUUCCAUCUAAAGCUAAAUAUUGGCGAGAGACCGAUAGCGAACAAGUACCGUGAGGGAAAGAUGAAAAGAACUUUGGAAAGAGAGUUAAACAGUACGUGAAAUUGCUUAAAGGGAAACGCUUGAAGUCAGUCGCGUUGUCUGGGGAUCAGCCUUGCAUUUAUGCUUGGUGUACUUCCUAGUUAACGGGUCAACAUCAGUUUCGACCGCUGGAAAAAGGUGAAGGAAAUGUGGCAUCACUUGUGGUGUGUUAUAGUCUUUCAUUGUAUACAGCGAUUGGGACUGAGGAACUCAGCACGCCUUUAUGGUCGGGAUUUAUCCACGUAACGUGCUUAGGAUGUUGGCAUAAUGGCUUUAAUCGACCCGUCUUGAAACACGG